This 126-nucleotide non-coding RNA is filed under the name Carlito syrichta (Philippine tarsier). Lineage: Eukaryota; Metazoa; Chordata; Mammalia; Primates; Tarsiidae. The record is from RNAcentral.
GUGUUGUAUGAAGAGAGAGAAGGUUAGCACUCCCCUUGACAAAGAUGGAAGAGGCUCUCGGGCCUCACAACACAAAUAUGGUUAAGGCAUUGCCACCUACUUCAUGGCAUUUAACCGUCAUUUUUC